RNAcentral lists this ribosomal RNA (393 nucleotides) under bacterium enrichment culture. RNAcentral's name for it is "bacterial SSU rRNA". It matches the Rfam family "Bacterial small subunit ribosomal RNA", at positions 521 to 916 of the family's 1533-position model. The record is from RNAcentral.
UAAUACGGAGGGUGCAAGCGUUAUCCGGAUUUAUUGGGUUUAAAGGGUCCGUAGGCGGAUCUGUAAGUCAGUGGUGAAAUCUCACAGCUUAACUGUGAAACUGCCAUUGAUACUGCAGGUCUUGAGUAAAUUUGAAGUGGCUGGAAUAAGUAGUGUAGCGGUGAAAUGCAUAGAUAUUACUUAGAACACCAAUUGCGAAGGCAGGUCACUAAGAUUUAACUGACGCUGAUGGACGAAAGCGUGGGGAGCGAACAGGAUUAGAUACCCUGGUAGUCCACGCCGUAAACGAUGCUAACUCGUUUUUGGGGUUUCGGCUUCAGAGACUAAGCGAAAGUGAUAAGUUAGCCACCUGGGGAGUACGUUCGCAAGAAUGAAACUCAAAGGAAUUGACGG